AAAAGGCUUUUCAAUCUCUAAGAUCAACUAUUGGCUGUUUUAUGAGUGGUGCCUGCUUUUAUUAUUCACAAGAAUGACAUUUUUGAAAGAUGACUGGUGACGUCACAAUCUUAAAAACCAUUUCGGUUUUGAGUUGGCGAAAGUCUACAGCUAGACGCUGGCGUAAUUUGGAUUUUCAUCAACAGAGAAAGCCAGGACUUCAACUCUUAUAUAUUGCUUUUUGACAAAAUAAACUACAAUGGUGCCCCAGUUGCGAGGUUUAGUACAAAGAAACAUGAUGAAGGAUAUUAUCCAAGCUACUGGCGUUGGAAUUCUAGCCGGGUUCGCGUGGAAAUUUCUGUAUGCUGACCCUAAAAGAUACGCUUAUGAGAGUUAUUACAAAAAUCUAGACGCAGAAAAAGAGGCUAAAAAAAUGGAAGCUGAGAUAGCCGCUGCUUCGCAAUAGCUAGAGGCGAAAUGUUCAACGAUGGAGGGAGGCAAAUGUGUAAAAAAAUAACUGUUAUUUCUGUGUUCAUAUUUUUAAUGGCAGCCGUUUUCUGUCGUUAUCACAAGAUGUAUAUUCCUCGUUUACGCUAUCGCCAGGGCAUAAUAAAAUAAUCGCUUAUUAUUUGUUAGUAACAUUUCUUAGUCCUCUUUGCUUCGCGGGGGUGUUUAGCGCACGCCAUGUAGAGUUUGCUCCCACAGGUUUCUGGUCAGCAGCUGCUGGUCAACGUGUAUGCGCAUGAACCGGUAAAUCGAGCACGAAACGCCAAGGUUGAAAUUACAACUCCAACAAGAGAAUUUCAAAGAGAUUUAAAGCUAUGGCUCCUCAACUGCGUGGAAUAGUUGUACGCACCCUCAAAAAGGACAUCCUCCAUGCAUCAAUUGCCGGAAUUGUUGCUGGCUGUGCCUGGAAGUUUCUUUAUGCUGAUCCGCUAAAAAAGAAGUAUGCAGAUUUCUACAAGAACUAUGAUGCUGAGAAAGUGGCCAAGGAGAUGGAGGCAGAUCUAGAGAACCAGUAGCAGAAAGUAAGAUCAUUCGACUUCUAAAUGCGUGUGUGUGCUAAAUUCUUUGGAAUCACCAGCUUGUAAAUUUACAGUUUGAAAUAAAAAUUACAUUUCUUGUU
Long non-coding RNA from Nematostella vectensis (starlet sea anemone), 1105 nucleotides. RefSeq lists it as uncharacterized. The transcript has 5 exons. The record is from RefSeq and is a predicted model, not a curated record. Lineage: Eukaryota; Metazoa; Cnidaria; Anthozoa; Actiniaria; Edwardsiidae.